UAGGUAAAACCUGUCCAUCAUGUGUUAUU
Molecule: small RNA, 29 nt
Filed under: Bombyx mori (domestic silkworm)
Lineage: Eukaryota; Metazoa; Arthropoda; Insecta; Lepidoptera; Bombycidae
Description: ovarian small RNA-6415
Source: RNAcentral